GACGAACGCUGGCGGCGUGCUUAACACAUGCAAGUCGAACGAAGAGCGAUGGAAGCUUGCUUCUAUCAAUCUUAGUGGCGAACGGGUGAGUAACGCGUAAUCAACCUGCCCUUCAGAGGGGGACAACAGUUGGAAACGACUGCUAAUACCGCAUACGAUCUAAUCUCGGCAUCGAGGAUAGAUGAAAGGUGGCCUCUACAUGUAAGCUAUCACUGAAGGAGGGGAUUGCGUCUGAUUAGCUAGUUGGAGGGGUAACGGCCCACCAAGGCGAUGAUCAGUAGCCGGUCUGAGAGGAUGAACGGCCACAUUGGGACUGAGACACGGCCCAGACUCCUACAGGAGGCAGCAGUGGGGAAUCUUCCGCAAUGGACGAAAGUCUGACGGAGCAACGCCGCGUGAGUGAUGACGGCCUUCGGGUUGUAAAGCUCUGUUAAUCGGGACGAAAGGCCUUCUUGCGAAUAGUGAGAAGGAUUGACGGUACCGGAAUAGAAAGCCACGGCUAACUACGUG
RNAcentral lists this ribosomal RNA (510 nucleotides) under uncultured bacterium. RNAcentral's name for it is "partial 16S ribosomal RNA". It matches the Rfam family "Bacterial small subunit ribosomal RNA", at positions 28 to 507 of the family's 1533-position model. The record is from RNAcentral.